UUGAGUAUGAUGAGUAUUAUGUUGUACUUGAAUGUUUUUGAGUGCUAUAAGUGUUUAAAAUGAGCUUUGAUGAGUUUUCUUUGAAGGAAUGUUGAGUUGAGCAUGUUUGCUUGUGUGAUUGAGUUCGGAGUCAUUUUUCGUGAUACACUGUCCUACUGUUUUCGAGGGGUUUUAUUACCCAAACACCAUAAAAAUUUUAUGGUAAGUAUAUUUGAGAGUCUUGAGCACACCGGUAAAAUUUCAAGCUAUUCCAACUUCGUUUGAUAUUUCUUUAAAAUGCAAAACCUAAACUGCACAUUACUACCGAGAAUUUCAGAGAAUAGGGGAAAGAGUCAUUCAUUUCAGUAGCUUCCUGUGUGAUCUAGAUUUCCAAAUUUUUAUGGUAUUAACCUUAUUGUGUUGGCUAAAUAUCCUCCAAAGUUGAGCCCAGUUUGAAAACGUUUUCUAUUUUUCAAAAAUCCAAGUUUUCGAUUGCUCAAAACUGCCGAAUAUGAUAGAUCGUGGUAAAAACGUCAUAUCUCUCAAACCACUUGGAGUUUUUGACUCUACUUUUUUUAUAUGAAACUAGACUCGAAUAUCUUUCUUUCGGUAUGAGUCUCGAGUCCAGGAGAUUUCGGGGUCAGAACAGAUUAAAAUUUUAAGUUGAAUCAGUGUAAAAACAGAGCAUGUUUUAAUGAUGUUUGAUUGUGAUUCUUAUGUGCCUUAUGUGAUUGUGUUGCCUAUGUGUUUGAAUGAGAUUAGACGAGCCUUAUAUGAGAGAUAAAUCGAGACUUAGAACCAUGAUUUUCUUGAAACCUAUCCUUGAACUUAAGGAUUUGAGUGGAGAGUUUAUAUAGAGUUGAGUAAGGAGAUAGAAUAUGAGAUAGAGCAUGAAUUAAGGCUUUAUGAGUAUGAAUUUUUAAAAGGAUUAAAAUGUUUUAAAUUAAUUCCAUUUUAAUGGAGUUUAAAUUGCUUAUUUAAGUAAUUUAUAAAUGAAUAAUGGAAUUUCGUAUUUAUUUACAUCGAAAUGAAAUGUAUAGAAUGUUAUAAGAUGGUGCAUGAUUAUUAUCUCUUAUGUGAACAUGUGAAUUUCUAAAUGAUAUUAAGUUUAAGGAUGUUGAAUUCUUUUAUUUCUUUUGUUAUGUGGUUACGUGAUAUUAUGUGGUUAGUCGAUGUUAUGUUGGUUUUUGAUUGUUUUAAUCGAAACGACUUAUGGAUGCUAGAACCCUAAAACACUAAAAGAUACCCUAAGCACGUAGAAUUAGACUUUGUCUUGUGACAUUUUUCUUCACGAACUUUCCGACUCUUCAUCAAUAAAGGUCCGGGCAACAGGAAGUGAAGCCGAAGAAGAAGCGACUCCACGCUAGCUUAAGAACGUUUGAGGUUGAGCAGCUGAUGGAAUGGAAUGGUGUUGAGCGGGUGUUCCUUUGUCAUUUCAAGAAAUGUAACCUUGAGUAUACAUCUUCAUAUGUAUAUCUCACACGUUUUCCGCUGCAAAACACUUUGAUUAGGAUAACUCUAUGUUAUGAAGUUGUGACACGUGUUAUUGGGUAACCCACCUUAAUCAGUUCUCCUUUAUGUGUAUGUUUUAUAAGUAUCCAAAUGAUCAUAUAUGAUCCUAGCAUUUUAUCUAUGAGUGACAUUUCCAUA
Molecule: long non-coding RNA, 1629 nt
Organism: Salvia miltiorrhiza (redroot sage)
Lineage: Eukaryota; Viridiplantae; Streptophyta; Magnoliopsida; Lamiales; Lamiaceae
Exons: 2
Source: RefSeq, a predicted model, not a curated record